UUCAUGGAGAGUUUGAUCCUGGCUCAGGACGAACGCUGGCGGCGUGCCUAAUACAUGCAAGUCGAGCGGACCGACGGGCGCUUGCUCCCUGAGGGUAGCGGCGGACG
Molecule: ribosomal RNA, 107 nt
Filed under: Bacillus haynesii
Lineage: Bacteria; Bacillati; Bacillota; Bacilli; Caryophanales; Bacillaceae
Description: partial 16S ribosomal RNA
Rfam family: Bacterial small subunit ribosomal RNA
Source: RNAcentral